CUAGGUUACUGAUUAGUAAGCAACUCCCUUCACCUGGUUGUCUAGGUAACUAAUUAGUAAGGAACUCCCCUCACCUGGUUGUCUAGGUUACUAAUUAGUAAGCAACUACCUUCACCUGGUUGUCUGGGUAACUAAUUAGUAAGGAACUCCCCUCACCUGGUUGUCUAGGUUACUAAUUAGUAAGGAACUGCCCUCACCUGGUUGUCUAGGCUACUAAUUAGUAAGGAACUGCCCUCACCUGGUUGUCUAGGCUACUAAUUAGUAAGGACCUGCCCUCACCUGGUUGUCUAGGCUACUAAUUAGUAAGGAACUGCCCUCACCUGGUUGUCUAGGCUACUAAUUAGUAAGGAACUGCCCUCACCUGGUUGUCUAGGCUACUAAUUAGUAAGGAACUGCCCUCACCUGGUUGUCUAGGCUACUAAUAGUAAGGAACUGCCCUCACCUGGUUGUCUAGGCUACUAAUUAGUAAGGAACUGCCCUCACCUGGUUGUCUAGGUUACUAAUUAGUAAGGAACUGCCCUCACCUGGUUGUCUAGGCUACUAAUUAGUAAGGAACUCCCCUCACCUGGUUGUCUAGGCUACUAAUUAGUAAAGAACUGCCAUCACCUGGUUGUCAAGGCUACUAAUUAGUAAGGAACUGCCCUCACCUGGUUGUCUAACUCUUUGAGAGGAAACACCAGACCUGACAUUAGACAGUCAUUCAUAAGGGAGGGAGGGAGAAACAUUUUAAGACUGUUGGGACUAGCUUUUAGCUAGUGAGUCAUGACGUCAUGAUACCCUCAGUGUUAGAGACAGCAUCUAUUGAGAGAACCCUGCUGAAAACUAGUGAGUCAUGACACCCUCAGUGUUAGAGACAGCAUCUAUUGAGAGAACCCUGCUGAAGACUAGUGAGUCAUGACACCCUCAGUGUUAGAGACAGCAUCUAUUGAGAGAACCCUGCUGAAGACUAGUGAGUCAUGACAUCAUGAUGCCCUCAGUGUUAGACAACAUCUAUUGAGAGAACCCUGCUGAAGACUAGUGAGUCAUGACAUCAUGUUUCCCUCAGUGUUAGACAGCAUCUAUUGAGAGAACCCUGCUGAAGACUAGUGAGUCAUGACGUCAUGAUGCCCUCAGUGUUAGAGACAGCAUCUAUUGAGAGAACCCUGCUGAAGACUAGUGAGUCAUGACAUCAUGAUGCCCUCAGUGUUAGACAACAUCUAUUGAGAGAACCCUGCUGAAGACUAGUGAGUCAUGACAUCAUGAUGCCCUCAGUGUUAGAGACAGCAUCUAUUGAGAGAACCCUGCUGAAGACUAGUGAGUCAUGACAUCAUGAUGCCCUCAGUGUUAGAGACAGCAUCUAUUGAGAGAACCCUGCUGAAGACUAGUGAGUCAUGACAUCAUGAUGCCCUCAGUGUUAGACAGCAUCUAUUGAGAGAACCCUGCUGAAGACUAGUGAGUCAUGACAUCAUGAUGCCCUCAGUGUUAGAGACAGCAUCUAUUGAGAGAACCCUGCUGAAGACUAGUGAGUCAUGACAUCAUGAUGCCCUCAGUGUUAGAGACAGCAUCUAUUGAGAGAACCCUGCUGAAGACUAGUGAGUCAUGACAUCAUGAUGCCCUCAGUGUUAGACAGCAUCUAUUGAGAGAACCCUGCUGAAGACUAGUGAGUCAUGACGUCAUGAUGCCCUCAGUGUUAGACAGCAUCUAUUGAGAGAACCCUGCUGAAGACUAGUGAGUCAUGACGUCAUGAUGCCCUCAGUGUUAGAGACAGCAUCUAUUGAGAGAACCCUGCUGAAGACUAGUGAGUCAUGACAUCAUGAUGCCCUCAGUGUUCGAGACAGCAUCUAUUGAGAGAACCCUGCUGAAGACUUGAACUCAGGCUAAGAUGCUAUUUAUGAAACGAAAUGUCGUGUAUAUAGAAAUGCAUUCCUCAAUGGUGUUAUUAUUGUUAAAGCUUUAUUUAACUUGGCAAGUCAGUUAAGAACAAAUUCUUAUUUACAAAGACGGCCUACAGGGGCAGAACGACUGAUUUUAACCUUGUUCAGCUCGGGGAUUCGAUCCAUCAACUUGCCCAUCUCUCUAACCACUAGGCUACCUGCCUCCCAAGCAGUAUGGUUGAUUCACUAUCAGGUUUUCAUUCUGAGUGUUAAAUUUAUUGAAUUGAUCUGAUGAGUAUUGUAGAUGUGUGGAAACAGGAGAGGCAGGGCUGUGGUCAGAGGAUGUUGCUGACAGACAGAAGGUUUUAGAUGUGGGGAAACAGGAGAGGCAGGGCUGUGGUCAGGAUGUUGCUGACAGACAGAAGGUUGUAGAUGUGUGGAAACAGGAGAGGCAGGGCUGUGGUCAGAGGAUGUUGCUGACAGGCAGAAGGUUGUAGAUGUGUGGAAACAGGAGAGGCAGGGCUGUGGUCAGAGGAUGUUGCUGACAGGCAGAAGGCUGUAGAUGUGUGGAAACAGGAGAGGCAGGGCUGUGGUCAGAGGAUGUUGCUGACAGACAGAAGGUUGUAGACGUGUGGAAACAGGAGAGGCAGGGCUGUGGUCAGAGGAUGUUGCUGACAGAC
Oncorhynchus tshawytscha (Chinook salmon) is the source of this 2533-nucleotide long non-coding RNA. The record is from Ensembl. NCBI's taxonomy places the organism in Eukaryota, Metazoa, Chordata, Actinopteri, Salmoniformes, Salmonidae.